Mustela lutreola (European mink) is the source of this 1450-nucleotide long non-coding RNA. RefSeq lists it as uncharacterized. NCBI's taxonomy places the organism in Eukaryota, Metazoa, Chordata, Mammalia, Carnivora, Mustelidae. The transcript has 3 exons. The record is from RefSeq and is a predicted model, not a curated record.
GAUCAGGCCAAAGGGAAGCUGGCCUCCCAGGAGCCCUAGGACAGUCUUCCAGAACAGCGUUCACCUCCCUGUCCCAACGGCCAGCUCUCUAGGGUUUGGAGGACUAAUCCUGGAGGGACCUGUCAUUGGUCCUUCCAGGUACCCUCACAGCCCCAGCCCUCCCCAGACGGAUGGCGGCCACCUGUAGAAAGCACACGCACAACAGCCCAGCCUCCGCGACAGGCCGCACUUUAUUUGGAGUUUUCCACAAAAGCGACUCCCAGCAGAGCCGCAUGAAACCCAGAUACCUAGAAGCCAGGUGGGCGGAAAAUCAAGUGACGGGCAACAGUAAAGAGAAGAAUUUGAUCUUCGAAACGGAUUCUCUGCGGCUGCACAUACGGAGCACAGAGUGAGGGCAGACCUGCUUGUUCCUGCUAAGCUGCCUGUGGUUUUCGCGUCAGACUGUGACUCAAUGUGAAUGGCCACUGGAGUCCUCCAGGCUGGGCCGGAGGGAUGCCCCCCACCCAGGGCACUCACCUGUGACUUUGGCCUUGAAGGGGCUGCCCACGAUGUGCUGCGGGCCACCGUACUUGAUAGCAAUGAGGUAGUUGCCAGGGGCCAUGGGAGUGUAAGUGACCACGUGGCCCUCAGGACACUCCCGACAGUCCAGCUGUACCUUGGAGGGGCCAUCGAUGGUGACAGACAAGGCCCCUGAGCCUGCGUUCAGGGUGUUGACGAUGAACUCCGAUGACACGCCUGGGGGUUGGAGGUAGUAAGGCUGUAGGCAGGAAGGGCUUGGGGCCCAGGGCUGAGCCGGGGCCCAGAGCUGAGCCGAGCCCCAGGCUCCCACAGCAGACCUCUGCAGCGCCUCAGCCCUCUGGGUCAGGGCAGUACAGGACCAGAAGCCGAGUACCCCAAUAUCCAGCCCUCUUCCCCAGACCCAGACACUCACCAGUAGUGCCUCCCUCAAGCCCAGGACCGUAAGCUGACACCAAGCCUGGGUCCCCAGCCUGGCUCUGCUCCCCAACACGGAUCUUGAAGGGACUGCCAGGGAUGUGGGCACCGUUGAACUUGACAUCAAUAGAGUGGACGCCGUUUUCAUGGGGGAUGAAGCGGAUGGCGUGUUUGUCUGUUGGGCAGAGGGCUAGUGAGUAAGCCUUUGUUCUUCCCCUCCCCAUCCCCCAGAAGGGCCCGGCAUGGGGGGACAAGGCCAGGGCCAGCUCACCGCUGUCCAGCUCAGAGACGUAGCACUCCUCUACCGCGCCCGAGGGCGUGUGCACGCGAGCAUCGAUCACACCCCGAGCACCGUUCAGCUGCACUGCAAAGGACGCCGGCUGGUUCACCCUGAGACCUGUCUCCUGCAGAGGCCACAGAAGGUCCUACCCCUGAGCACAUACCUGGAGGCUGGUGACGGUGAGGCGGCGAGCGUCAUCUGAGAGGGAGGCCACAGGCACCACAAAGGGACUGUCUG